RNAcentral lists this ribosomal RNA (461 nucleotides) under uncultured Methanomicrobiales archaeon. RNAcentral's name for it is "bacterial SSU rRNA". It matches the Rfam family "Archaeal small subunit ribosomal RNA", at positions 877 to 1338 of the family's 1478-position model. Lineage: Archaea; Methanobacteriati; Methanobacteriota; Methanomicrobia; Methanomicrobiales. The record is from RNAcentral.
CACCACAACAGGUGGAGCCUGCGGUUAAUCGGACUCAACGCCGGGAAACUCACCAGAUAAGACAGCUGAAUGAUAGUCGGGCUGAAGACUCUACUUGACUAGCUGAGAGAGGUGCAUGGCCGUCGUCAGUUCGUACUGUGAAGCAUCCUGUUAAGUCAGGCAACGAGCGAGACCCACGCCAACAGUUGCCAGCUCGUCCUCCGGGGAUGGUGGGGACACUGUUGGGGCCGCCUCUGCUAAAGAGGAGGAAGGAAUGGGCAACGGUAGGUCAGCAUGCCCCGAAUUAUCUGGGCUACACGCGGGCUACAAUGGAUGGGACAAUGGGUAUCGACACCGAAAGGUGAAGGCAAUCUCCUAAACCCAUCCGUAGUUCGGAUUGUGGGCUGCAACUCGCCCACAUGAAGCUGGAAUCUGUAGUAAUCGUGUCUCAAAAUGGCACGGUGAAUAUGUCCCUGCUCCUU